AACAAGAAGAUAUGGCUCGACAGUGGUUGGAAUACGUUUGUUGAACAUUAUUCCAUAUGCAUUGGGUACUUCUUGGUCUUCAAAUACGAAGGGAAUUCUCGUUUCGAUGUUAAUGUGUAUAAUCUGAAAGCUUCGGAGAUCGACUAUCUGCCGAAUAAUCUAAAUAAUUCGCCGGAACCGGUUUGUAAUCCGCAUUUAAAAGACGUGGAAGAUGGUGGCUUUGCUGAUAAGAAUGUUGAUGAAUGUCUACAUCAUGAUAGGAAGAGAUAUACGAACUCUACAUGCCUGCAUCCAGAAAAUGAACUUUGUGAUUUACGAGCAAUGUCUUGAUCUACCCGAGACAAAGGCAUUCAGUUUAAUGGGGUUGAGCUUACGAGUACUGGAGAUGAAGUCGGACUGUGUUUCUCGAACGAAACACAACGAAUCAAUGAUGCUAUAAAACAAGAACCCGAUCUGAAUAUGGAUGAACAUGGGCCGUUAUGGAAAAUCAAAGUGAAAGACGAGCUUCCUGCCCCGAACCCUCCUAGUGUUACCCUGAGGCGGAGAGAUGUGACGGUAGAAGGAAAACAGUGUGCGUUUCAUGCGGCUUUGAUGUUCAAACCCGACAAUCCUUUCUGCAGGGUUAUCUUACGACCAUCCUACGUAUACAAGAGAGUACUUCUAGUAAGCUAUGUUACUCAGACUCGCUCCUUUGACAUCAUUUCUCGAUUGGAGCUUCGAAACAUAUUCUAGACUAACGUUGUUUCUCCUUUCGUAUCCACAGUAUUUGCCCCGCUGCUUUGCUCAGAAGUACAUGAACGGAGUCGACGGGGUUAUAACGCUCGGACGAGGGAAAAUGGCCAGUCCAAUGUGUUUAUUGUAACAAUAAUUUGAAGUUCAGCAAAGGAUGGGCCGAAUUCGUCAUGGAUAAUGAUUUAGACGAAGGAGAUGUUUGCAUAUUCGAUCUGAUUAAUACGAAAGAGAUCAUGCUGAAAGUUACCAUAUUCGAGCUUUUCAACGGAGUAAUCCGAUCGUCGACUAGAUAAUACCAUCAGGUACAUCUUCCGAGUAGGUUAUUUUAAUGACAUUGAACUUCACUGUGGUAGCUUAUAAAUGUGUAUAAAAUCCUAGAGAAGUUUGAGUA
This is a long non-coding RNA of Hibiscus syriacus, 1123 nucleotides long. RefSeq lists it as uncharacterized. NCBI's taxonomy places the organism in Eukaryota, Viridiplantae, Streptophyta, Magnoliopsida, Malvales, Malvaceae. The transcript has 2 exons. The record is from RefSeq and is a predicted model, not a curated record.